This is a long non-coding RNA of Heterocephalus glaber (naked mole-rat), 2669 nucleotides long. Lineage: Eukaryota; Metazoa; Chordata; Mammalia; Rodentia; Bathyergidae. The record is from Ensembl.
GCAGUUUUUAUAAACUGACGUCCCUCGUUGCCCCUUAGGGCUGUGCACUCAAUCGAGCCACAAGGUGCAGGUUUUCAGAUUUGGAUUCGCAGUACCGGCCCAGGGCCCUUGAUUCGUGUGCCUGUCGUUCCAGGGUUUUUCAACCACUUGGUUUCUAUCCAUGGACUCCAAGUUAAGAAUGUCUGGUAAAGAAUCUCUGUAUAUGUCAGUUUUCAAAGCACAAGAUUUGGAAGAUCCAGGAUUUUCAAACACUACUCUAAUGGCCAUGCAGUGGUUUUUCUGCUGCUUCCUUGACCAUUUCUUUAUUUCACAAGGUCACAGAUGCAUGUUCUCUAUAGUGGAGAGGAAAAGUAGAAAUGUUAAUGUUUUCCUUCUUAUUCCCAGCUGCACUUACAUUGCCCCAGAAGAGAACUUUAAAUUACUUGUACAGGAAGAAGAGAAUGAUGAACUCAGAAGACAUUCAGUACAGAGCCUAUAAUGACAGACUGGUAUUUUCAAAUGAACCAUCUUCCAGUUCUUUCAUUUUAUACCAGAGGAAACAAAUAGAUGAACUGACUGCUACUGGUAGUGGAACAGGUUAUUGAGGAAGGCCUAGAUCCCGGUUUUCCUGGUCUGUCUCCAGUUUUUUCUGAUGAUUCCCCACCCAAUGACUAGAUAGGAAAUGAGCUGCUCAAGAUGAAACUUAGUGGCAGCAUUUUUACUAGACUCCUGUAACAGUAUUCUUUAGAUUAAUACAUUUUGCUUCAUAGAACUAAAGGUUUUAGAAAAUUAUGUAUCUCUUUGUACAGUUGUAAGAUGACACCUAAAUUUGUCAUCUUAAAUUUAGGACAUUAUGAAGGACAAAAAUUUGGGCAUAUUAUAAAUAUCAGCAUUCUUUAAUGAAACAUCAUCCAUUUAAUUAUAUUCACUUGAAUGUAACUUUGAUACCUACUAUCAUUUAUGAAAUACCUGAAAAUUUUUUUAAAAGACAAUUUACGUCACUUUCUUCUUUCAUUUCCAUUGUACACCGAAUAUGAUUCUAAUAUGAUCUACAUAUUGGUCACUUAACCAUUUUUUGCAACAAAAGUAUGUCUACUAAUGUUUUAAGUUUUAAAAUUUCCUGGGAUCAAUUCUUUUGGAAUGUUACCUUUCCAUUACAAAGCAGAAAAAAAUGACAUGAAUGAAUCUUAAACUUUGAUUAAAAAGUACAGAAUAUGGACUGGGGAUAUAGCUCAGUGGUAGAGCACUUGCCUAGGGUGUGGAAGGUCCUGUGUUCAAUCCCAGCACGGCAAAAUAAAUUAAUAAAUGUACGUAGAUAUAUAGAUUUAUGGAGAAAGAAUAAGAAAGUUGUAUUGAAAAUGCAACUUUAAAAAGAUGCCUGGUAUGUCAUAUUUCCACUAAUGACAGGACUGCUGUAGUCACCACGAGACAGUUUCCAAGUCUACUUUGUAAAACCGUCAGAUGACAACCUUUUAGGGAGCAAAACUAGCAUAUAGAAGUGUUCUGUAACUUGCCUCCUCAAAGGUGACGUGCUCAAGAUUCAGAAGCACAGCCACUCACUCCUAUUUUAUGAACUACUCACGACGAAUGUCAUCCUUUGCCUAAAUUGGAGAAAAGGUGGAUUUAAUGAGACAAAUGAGAAAUUUAACCUAAUAGUAAAGACUCAGACUAAAAUAUUAUAUAUGUAUUCUUGUGUGUGUGCGUGCACACACACGCACAGACUGUACUUUAAAAAUCUCUGUACCCUGCAAUAGACAGCACAGCUUCCCUACUGUGUUUAUCCACUCUCGGGACAGCCUGGUAAGUUGGCCAUGGGGCCUCUAGGGUAGAUUGCUACAGACUGCGAGAAACGUCACCCAUUUUGUUCGGUGUGCCAUGCAAAUAUUCUCAUUUUCUACAGAUACAAUGAUGUAGGAAAGAUUGGGAAACCCUAAUCCCAGGGAAAUCCAUUUUUGGAAAAAUCCAAAUAAAGGCUAGUGGUAAUAGAUUUUUAGUAUAUGCCAGAGAACAUGAGAUCCCCACUUAAUCAUGGCUUGGUUUCCCAGACAAUCCUUACUCAGGUUGCGGUGGUUUCAGUUACCUACAGUCAACUGCCGUCCAAAAAUACUAAAAAGAAGAGUAGAAAUGAACAAUUCACAGGUUUCCAAUUGCAUGCCAUUCUGAGGAAACCUUACAAAAUUUCUUCAUCCUGGUCCAUCCGCCUGAGCUAUGAAUCAUCCCUUUGUCCAGUGUCUCCACACUGUAUACUCAGCCUCCCCGUUAGUCACUUAGUAGCAGUCUCAGUUAUCAACCUAGUAUUAUCUUUAUUUUCAGGCACCUAGUAAGGGUCUUGGAAUGUACCUUCCGCAGAUAAGAGGGGACCACUGUAACUAUAAACUAGUAUUUAGGAGUUGAGGUGUAUCAUAGCUGAUAACUUUCUCUGACCUGAGACACUUUACUAAUAGGAAAUCAUAGAGCUGUACAGAAUAAUUAGGAAAGCUGGGAGAAAAUUAUUAAAAAUUAAGAUUGUGAAGUCCAUAGAUUGAUAAGGCAGUGGUAGAUGGCCCUCUGUGUCCAGCCCUGUGUAGAUGUUGGUGUUCAGGAGCCGUGGAGAACUGGCUUGGAGAGUCUAGAAAUCUGAAGUUCCUGGCUCUGCUUGGCUUAUGAUUUUGGACAAAAGAAUUCUUCUUGGCCUCAGUUUCCUUGUUUAU